AACGCACGAGACCUGCGGACCUGCGGAAGGAUCAUUACUGAGUGAGGGCCCUCUGGGUCCAACCUCCCACCCGUGUCUCUUGUACCAUGUUGCUUCGGCGAGCCCGCCUCACGGCCGCCGGGGGGCAUCUGCCCCCGGGCCCGCGCCCGCCGAAGCCCCCUCUGAACGCUGUCUGAAGAUUGCAGUCUGAGCGAUAAGCAAAAAUUAUUUAAAACUUUCAACAACGGAUCUCUAGAUCGG
RNAcentral lists this unclassified non-coding RNA (240 nucleotides) under soil metagenome. RNAcentral's name for it is "partial contains 5.8S ribosomal RNA, internal transcribed spacer 2, and large subunit ribosomal RNA". The record is from RNAcentral.